GAUGAACGCUGGCGGCGUGCCUAAUACAUGCAAGUCGAGCGAACGGACGAGAAGCUUGCUUCUCUGAUGUUAGCGGCGGACGGGUGAGUAACACGUGGAUAACCUACCUAUAAGACUGGGAUAACUUCGGGAAACCGGAGCUUAUACCGGAUAAUAUUUUGAACCGCAUGGUUCAAAAGUGAAAGACGGUCUUGCUGUCACUUAUAGAUGGAUCCGCGCUGCAUUAGCUAGUUGGUAAGGUAACGGCUUACCAAGGCAACGAUGCAUAGCCGACCUGAGAGGGUGAUCGGCCACACUGGAACUGAGACACCGUCCAUACUCCUACGGUAGGCAGCAGUAGGGAAUCUUCCGCAAUGGUCGAAAGCCUGACGGAGCAACGCCGCGUGAGUGAUGAAGGUCUUCGGAUCGUAAAACUCUGUUAUUAGGGAAGAACAUAUGUGUAAGUAACUGUGCACAUCUUGACGGUACCUAAUCAGAAAGCCCCGGCUAACUACGUG
RNAcentral lists this ribosomal RNA (497 nucleotides) under uncultured bacterium. RNAcentral describes it as "partial 16S ribosomal RNA". It matches the Rfam family "Bacterial small subunit ribosomal RNA", at positions 28 to 507 of the family's 1533-position model. The record is from RNAcentral.